Molecule: ribosomal RNA, 253 nt
Filed under: uncultured bacterium
Lineage: Bacteria
Description: partial 16S ribosomal RNA
Rfam family: Bacterial small subunit ribosomal RNA
Source: RNAcentral
UACGUAGGCAGCGAGCGUUGUUCGGAAUUACUGGGCGUAAAGAGUGUGUAGGCGGUGCUCUAAGUUCGGUGUGAAAUCUCCCGGCUUAACCGGGAGCGGUCGUUGGAAACUACUUGGCUUGAGGCGAUGAGAGGGGUGUGGAAUUCCCGGUGUAGUGGUGGAAUGCGUAGAUAUCGGGAGGAACAUCAGUGGCGAAAGCGGCACCCUGGCAUUAGCCUAACGCUCAGGUGCGAAAGCGUGGGGAGCGAACGGG